UUCCACAUUCCUCUUUCCUCUUCCCCUUACCCUUUUUCCGUAGUUUUGUAUUUGGUUUAUUUUCUGUGUCUCCUCAGAUUAAUCAAAAUUUCAACAACUUCAACCGAGGGGCGGCGUUGGAGUCCAUCUACCAUCUUCGAUUUAGAAGGUGGUGGGCACUGGUCAGGCAUUGAGAUUCACUAGAGUUUUGCAGCCGGCGAUACCACCCAUGCCCAUGCCUUUCACUUUCACUUUCACUUUCACUUUCAUUCAUCCAACACUGCGCUUGCACCAUCCCCGAUCUCAAACUACAACCUAUGCUUCUCUCUCACUCUACUCUAACCCUACACUUUUCUGAUUCUGCGCUGUUAAGAAACCCUUUCGAUCCCAUGCCCAAAUUUUCCAUACACCAAUUAAACCCCCUCACAAUCUCUCUUCACAAGCCGGCGCGCCUUUCUCCUUUCUUUUAUUUUUCCUCUCUCCCUCUUUCUUCCAACUCAACUCCGGAUGCCCAAAAUGAGCUCUCCAUAUCACCUCAAAUAUUCAAAUCCCGCCCUCAAUUCGGUUCCUAUAAACUGGGGGAUGCUACAUUUUAUCGUUUGAUUGAGAACUAUGCAACUUCUCGGGAAUUCCAUUUCAUACACCAAGUUUUGGAUAGAAUGAAACGUGAAGGGCGGGUCCUUACGGAAACUAUUUUUAUCCUAAUUUUCAAGGCUUGCGGGAAAGCUCAUUUACCUGGGGAAGCUGUGAAUUUUUUUCACAGAAUGGCCAACGACCUUCAUUGUAAGCAGACUGUAAAGUCAUUCAAUUCAGUUCUUAACGUAAUUAUUCAAGAGGGGGACUUUUCAUACGCAUUCAAGUUUUAUUUGCACGUUUUCGGUGCCAAUAGCAAAGGCUUUCAGCCCAACCUACUUACUUACAAUUUGAUUAUUAAGGCACUGUGCAAGUUAGGGCAGAUAGAUAGAGCUGUUGACACUUUUAGAGAAAUGCCACUGAAGAACUGCAAUCCCGACGUCUUCACUUAUAGUACAUUAAUGAAUGGGUUAUGUAAGGAAAGAAGGGUAGACGAGGCAGUGUUUUUGCUGGAUGAGAUGCAAGCAGAAGGCUGCCUUCCAAAUCCCGUGACAUUUAAUGUGUUGAUUGAUGCACUAAGCAAGAAUGGUGACUUGAGUCGAGCAGCAAAGCUUGUGGAUAAUAUGUUUCUCAAAGGUUGUGUUCCAAACGAAGUGACUUAUAAUACCCUUAUCCAUGGUUUGUGCUUGAAAGGAAAGUUGGACAAAGCUCUUAGUCUUUUGGAGAAAAUGGUGUCGAGUAAAUGUGUUCCUAAUCAAGUCACAUAUGGAACAAUCAUUAAUGGUCUUGUUAAACAAAGAAGGGCCGAGGAUGGAGUACACAUUUUGAUGUCUAUGGAAGAGAGAGGACAAAAGGCAAAUGAGUACAUUUACUCGUCUCUCAUCAGUGGUUUAUUUAAGGAGGGCAAGUCUGAAAAUGCCGUGAGGCUGUGGAAAGAAAUGGCAGAGAAGGGAUGCAAACCCAACGUUGUUGUUUAUGGUGCCUUUAUAGAUGGUCUAUGUCGAGAUGAAAAGCCAGAUGAAGCCGAAGACAUUUUGCAGGAAAUGUUAAGUAAAGGUUUUUUACCAAAUGCUUUCACUUACAGUUCCUUGAUGAAGGGUUUUUUUAAAAAAGGCGACAGCCAAAAAGCAAUCCUUGUAUGGAAAGAGAUGAUGAGUCAGGAUAUGAGGCACAAUGUAGUUUGUUGUAGUGUCUUACUUAAUGGCCUAUGUGAGAGUGGAAGACUAAGGGAGGCGUUGACAGUGUGGACGCACAUGCUCGGUGAGGGACUUAAGCCUGAUGUCGUGGCUUAUAGUUCAAUGAUUAAAGGUCUUUGUGAUGUCGGCUCUGUAGACAAGGGCUUGAAGCUUUUCUAUGAGAUGCAAUGUCAGGAGCCCAAGUCCCGACCAGAUGUGGUCACCUAUAAUAUACUUUUCAAUGCCCUCUGUAGGCAGGAUAAUCUCACCCGUGCCAUUGAUCUUCUAAAUAGUAUGCUCGAUGAAGGCUGUGACCCUGACUCAUUGACAUGCAAUAUCUUUUUAGAAACUUUGAGGGAGAGGAUUAAUCCACCACAAGAUGGAAGGCUGUUUUUAGAUGAGCUCGUGGUAAGGUUACUUAAGCGAGAGAGAAAACUAUCUGCUUUGAGAAUUGUAGAGGAAAUGCUCCUAAGAUUUCUGCCACCGGAGCCAUCAACUUGGUCCAGAGUCAUUCAAAGAACAUGCAAACCAAAAAGGAUUCGAGAAACCAUAGACGAGUGUUGCAGAAGUCUGUAUGGAUAAUGACAGACUGGACAUUACAAGCAAGCAUACUAUUUCUUGAACAUGCAUCAUGGAGCUACCUGGGUUUUAAGGGGGUUGGAGACUGGGAGAAGAAAAUUUUGGUGAACCGAAGUAAAAUUACCAGAAUAUAGUGAUAACGGUACUUUUAUAUUGAUCAUCAGAUAUUGUUCUUGGGGCUUCUACUAGUAUGAGGAGGUGGAAGAAAAUAAUGUCUGAUCGUGAUUGAAAGAGUUGUUGUGGAUUCAGCAAGGAGUUGGUUUCAGAAGUUCCAAAAUAGAGUGAAGGGAACUGUAUGUGACAAUGAGGUUCAGGAUGUACCUUCAAUUGCGAUGAAGCAGAAAGUUGAGGUUGCCCAGCAAUAUAUUGAAAAUCAUUACAAAUCUCCAAUGAAGUCAUUGCAAGAUAGGAAGGAGAGAUGUUGGGUGUUGGAGAGGAGGCUUGCUGAUGCGGAUGUUUAUGAGGAAAACCAAAUAAAUGUCGGUUAAAUAUUUAGAACCAUAAGGAGACAGAAUACAUGUGCCUUCGUAGGCAUAAAAUGGGCGCUGAUGACUUCGAACUUUUAACAAUUAUAGGAAGGGGUUAGACUUGUAGAGAUAAAUCACAGGUCACGUGUAUGCAAUGAAGAAGCUUAAGAAAUCUGAGAUGCUUCAGAGUGGGCAGGUAUUUCUAAAACCUUGGCCCUACAUUGUUGCUAUGAUGGAUUGACUUAAUAUCACAUAUUUUAGUUGAUGGUUAUCCACCCUUCUAAAUUUCAAAUCGGCUUGUGUAUAGUAUGUCUAGUAUGGGAUGUGAAAUUGGUGAAGAAGAACUUAUUAUUUUGUUAAAUGAAGGAUUGGAAAUUAGAUCCUAUUGUAGAAUACUUUUGUAACGUCUUGAGUUUAGAAUGAGACAUGAAUGAAUCGAUCACAUUGGAAUGAGAGGAAUUUUGAGAACAUAAAAGUAAGGUUAAUAGAGACUUUUAUGUAUUUGUAUGUUCGUAAAAUAAAGAUAAUAUUUUAUGUA
Cucumis sativus (cucumber) is the source of this 3311-nucleotide RNA transcript. It is a transcript of the gene named pentatricopeptide repeat-containing protein At4g20090, with no coding region annotated. NCBI's taxonomy places the organism in Eukaryota, Viridiplantae, Streptophyta, Magnoliopsida, Cucurbitales, Cucurbitaceae. The record is from RefSeq and is a predicted model, not a curated record. The transcript is spliced from 6 exons.